GACGAACGCUGGCGGUGUGCUUAACACAUGCCAGUCGAACGGUAAGGCCCUUUCGGGGGUACACGAGUGGCGAACGGGUGAGUAACACGUGAGUAACCUGCCCUCAUCUCUGGGAUAACAGUCGGAAACGGUUUCUAAUACUGGAUAUGAGCUUGCAAGGCAUCUUGUGGGUUGGAAAGAUUUUUUUGGUUGGGGAUGGACUCGCGGCCUAUCAGCUUGUUGGUGAGGUAGUGGCUCACCAAGGCUUCGACGGGUAGCCGGCCUGAGGGGGCGACCGGCCACAUUGGGACUGAGGUACGGCCCAAACUCCUACGGGAGGCAGCAGUGGGGAAUAUUGCACAAUGGACGGAAGUCUGAUGCAGCAACGCCGCGUGCGGGAUGACGGCCUUCGGGUUGUAAACCGCUUUCAAUUGUGACGAAGCUUUUUGUGACGGUAGCAGUAGAAGAAGCACCGGCUAACUACGUG
RNAcentral lists this ribosomal RNA (466 nucleotides) under uncultured bacterium. Its description in RNAcentral is "partial 16S ribosomal RNA". It matches the Rfam family "Bacterial small subunit ribosomal RNA", at positions 28 to 507 of the family's 1533-position model. The record is from RNAcentral.